UACGAAGGGUGCAAGCGUUACUCGGAAUUACUGGGCGUAAAGCGUGCGUAGGCGGUUUGUUAAGUCUGUUGUGAAAGCCCCGGGCUCAACCUGGGAAUGGCAAUGGAAACUGGCGGGCUAGAGUACGGUAGAGGAGAGUGGAAUUCCCGGUGUAGCAGUGAAAUGCGUAGAGAUCGGGAGGAACAUCAGUUGCGAAGGCGGCUCUCUGGACCAGUACUGACGCUGAGGCACGAAAGCGUGGGGAGCAAACAGG
This 253-nucleotide ribosomal RNA is filed under the name uncultured bacterium. RNAcentral describes it as "partial 16S ribosomal RNA". It matches the Rfam family "Bacterial small subunit ribosomal RNA", at positions 524 to 776 of the family's 1533-position model. The record is from RNAcentral.